CCUACGGGUGGCAGCAGUGGGGAAUAUUGCACAAUGGGGGCAACCCUGAUGCCGCGACGCCGCGUGAGUGAAGAAGUAAUUCGUUUUGUAAAGCUCUAUCAGCAGGGAAGAAAAUGACGGUACUUGUGUAAGAAGCCCCGGCUAACUACGUGCCAGCAGCCGCGGUAAUACGGAGGGGGAAAGCGUUAUACGGAUUUACUGGGUGUAAAGGGAGCGUAGAUGGCAGUGCAAGUCUGGAGUGAAAGGCGGGGGCGCAACCCCCGGACUGCUCUGGAUACUGUAUGGCGGGAGUGCAGGAGAGGGAAGUGGAAUUCCUAGUGUAGCGGUGAAAUGCGUAGAUAUGAGGAGGAACACCAGUGGCGAAGGCGGCUUACUGGACUGUAACUGACGUUGAGGCUCGAAAGCGUGGGGAGCAAACAGGAUUAGAUACCCGAGUAGUC
Molecule: ribosomal RNA, 440 nt
Filed under: uncultured bacterium
Lineage: Bacteria
Description: partial 16S ribosomal RNA
Rfam family: Bacterial small subunit ribosomal RNA
Source: RNAcentral